CGGAGAAGAAAAGGAAAACCCACCCAGUCCCGCACCUCCCGCGCCGCCCCCUCCCCUUCCCCGGAACCAGCCACCGCGCCGCCACCGGUCCUAAAUCCGGCUGCCGCGCCGCUCCCUCCCCGGGAUCCGGCCGCCGCGACACCACAGCCCCCGGAUCCGGCCACCGGACGGCCUCCUUCCCCCGGAUCCGCCCGGGACUGAUCCCACCGCCGCCUGCCGCCACCAAGCACCGGCGUGCGACCCUGACGCCGCCUCCCGCCAUGAAGCGCCGGCGCGCGACGCCGUCACCUACCUCUGGUACGGCGCCGCGCCGCUGCCACCUAGGCUGCCCGUGACGUCGCCCAACUCCUCUAGCGACGACCCCCUGCGACGCACGCCUCCUCGUUGUUCUGCCCCGCACACGGGCGCCUCCCCGUCCACCCUCUGGCAACCGAAACCAGCUCCGCCCGCCGUAGCAGAGGACAUGCCCCGUUCGUGGCCUCCCCUCCCCUCCGCCCGUGUGUGCGAGAGGUUUCGGCAAGCGGUGCCCUCCGCUUCGUUGUGACCUUCCCUGCGCUCUUGCGUGGCCUGCCCAUCUGUUACCGUCACCGGCCAACCAGCGCCGCCGCCGCCCGACCUACCCAGCACGCCGCGGCCCCCUGACCUACGAGCGUUCGUUCCCUGUGGGCCGCCCACCUUCUUUGCGCGCCACCGAGAGCCUGCCUCCGAACUUCCACCCUGGCUGCGCGCGGCUCUGCGCCCUAACCGUCAUCGCCGGGGAUCACCAAACACCAUCAACUAGCAUGCAGUCUUCGGCCGCCUGCUCACGCAGUCCCCAGCAUGCUGCUGACGCGGAUCCGGUCAAGCCCGCACACCUUCCCUCCGGUGAGCCUCCUCCCGCCUUAUGCCUUAAUCUUCUCCUUCUCUACCUCCGGCGAGCUCCCCUGUAUCCUCCGGCUCGUCACCUUCACUUGCCCCUAGCUCCUCAUGUGCUUCUAUCGCACGACGCUGCCGAGCUACAAGAAACCAAUGAUGACGUCUCCACACCCCGUGCGCCGCUAGCGCCGUUUCCCGUUCGGCGCAAGCAGGACCUCCUCUGGCCGAAUCCAUCAGCGAGGCUCCCCUUCCACCAUGUCGCCUAUUCCCGGUGGGGAUCUGCUGGUACAGUGUCCGGCCGUUCGCCGACGCCGCUGCAGGCCGUUCACCUAAGUCGCCACGCACCUGUACCCUGCAGCUGGCCGCAGCACGCCUGGAGCACACUCGCCAUGCACCUCAGCUCUGAAUCCCCUGCGCGUUGCCGCCGGCUUGCCCGAGCAUGCCGCUGCUGGCCUUCUGUGUGUUGUGUGCACUCACUCCCAAGAACACAAGAGUUAAAACUGACGGGCAAAAACAACAGUUGAUGGAUACUGAGUUAACUGACGGAAAGGAGCGAUGCAUGAUGCGGAUGGAGCCAAAUAACUGAACAUCUACACUUUGUUGCAUGUGCAAAAAUGUCGGCUUCGCCUGAUGUGUCUGUUCAGCUACAAAAAGGAAAGCAUUAUACGUUGUUUUCUAGUCCGCUCACUUGUUGAAAUAAAAAGAGCGGCUGGAUCUUGCUGCACACAAGGAAGAAGCGUUUAAGAGGUAAGGAAGACGUGGCUGGGAAUUAAAGGAUAGGCAAAAGAGCUAAGCUAGCGCUCUGGUCACUGGCUUUUUAUUUCUUUUCCUGUAUUCGACCCUAGCUACUACAUGUACGCUGGACUUUUCUAUUCUACAAAAGAGAAAACAAAGUGAUCACAGUGAGAAGAGAGAGAGAAUAAACAAAAUGUGCAAUGGGGAAUAACUCCAUGUAUUUUUUAUCAAGCCCAUUUUGGCCAGUGCAUUUUUAAAAGUACUCCUAGAUGUUUGUCUUUAAGAAGACUGGAGCCAAAAUAUAAAUAGUCCACUUGAUAAUUUUAAACUUUGGA
Molecule: long non-coding RNA, 1925 nt
Organism: Triticum aestivum (bread wheat)
Lineage: Eukaryota; Viridiplantae; Streptophyta; Magnoliopsida; Poales; Poaceae
Exons: 2
Source: RefSeq, a predicted model, not a curated record